CGGGACGAGUAAAGUGGCGAACGGGUGUAGAACGCGUAGGAAUCUACCUAUUAGUGAAGGAUACCAUCGAGAAAUCGAUGCUAAUACUGCAUACGUCCCUCCGGGGAGAAAGACGGCCUCUUGCUGUCGCUAAUGGAUGAGCCUGCGUACUAUUAGCUAGUUGGUGGGGUAAUGGCCUACCAAGGCGAUGAUGGUUAGCCGGCCUGAGAGGGUGUACGGCCACAUUGGGACUGAGAUACGGCCCAGACUCC
This 251-nucleotide ribosomal RNA is filed under the name uncultured bacterium. Its description in RNAcentral is "partial 16S ribosomal RNA". It matches the Rfam family "Bacterial small subunit ribosomal RNA", at positions 82 to 339 of the family's 1533-position model. The record is from RNAcentral.